RNAcentral lists this ribosomal RNA (327 nucleotides) under uncultured Streptococcus sp. RNAcentral's name for it is "bacterial SSU rRNA". It matches the Rfam family "Bacterial small subunit ribosomal RNA", at positions 1051 to 1382 of the family's 1533-position model. Lineage: Bacteria; Bacillati; Bacillota; Bacilli; Lactobacillales; Streptococcaceae. The record is from RNAcentral.
GUCGUCAGCUCGUGUCGUGAGAUGUUGGUUAAGUCCGCAACGAGCGCAACCCCUAUUGUUAGUUGCCAUCAUUCAGUUGGCACUCUAGCGAGACUGCCGGUAAUAAACCGGAGGAAGGUGGGGAUGACGUCAAAUCAUCAUGCCCCUUAUGACCUGGGCUACACACGUGCUACAAUGGUUGGUACAACGAGUUGCGAGUCGGUGACGGCGAGCUAAUCUCUUAAAGCCAAUCUCAGUUCGGAUUGUAGGCUGCAACUCGCCUACAUGAAGUCGGAAUCGCUAGUAAUCGCGGAUCAGCACGCCGCGGUGAAUACGUUCCCGGGCCUU